This 2145-nucleotide ribosomal RNA is filed under the name Psallomimus solani. Its description in RNAcentral is "eukaryotic LSU rRNA". It matches the Rfam family "Eukaryotic large subunit ribosomal RNA", at positions 150 to 1861 of the family's 3401-position model. Lineage: Eukaryota; Metazoa; Arthropoda; Insecta; Hemiptera; Miridae. The record is from RNAcentral.
UGUUUGGGAGGGUCCAUAUACCCGAUACCGUCGCACCGCGUCCAAGUCCAUCUUGAAAGAGGCCCCGGUCCCGAGAGGGUGCCAGGCCCGUGGUAGGCCAGUGCAGGUGUUGGGUGGACCUCUCCUCAGAGUCAGGUUGCUUGAGAGUGCAGCCCUAAGCGGGUGGUAAACUCCAUCUAAGGCUAAAUACAACCACAAGACCGAUAGCGAACAAGUACCGUGAGGGAAAGUUGAAAAGAACUUUGAAGAGAGAGUUCAAGAGUACGUGAAACCGCUCAGGGGUAAACGGAAAAGACCCGAAAUUUCCGAAGAGGGAGAUUCACGUCUUCUCGCUGGUUCGACGCAUCGACCCUCUCGACAGCUUUCGCUCCUGCUCGGGCUCGCCCGGCGCUAGGCGGUGGAGUUGCAGAGGUUGGUGUGGAGGCUGGCGGCGGACCGCACUUCUCCCUUAGUAGGACGUCGUGACCCGUCCGGCCAUGGUCUUACGGGCGUGAGGUGGAGCCUGUCCGUCGGUGCUUGCAUUUUGUACGGUCAGACCCUUACGUCCCGGCCAUGGGCUCAAUCCCGGUCGGUAUAUAAUGACGGUGUUAGGCCGCUUUACGGUGGGGGAAACCCCUACCUGCGAGCGCGAUUGCGGCCCUUGACAAGGCGUCGGUAGGUUAUGCCAAGGCGGGCUUACGUCCGCCCGGCUGCCUCCGAUCCUGUUGGUCUCGGUGUCCUCUCGCUGGUCACUCCUUCACGGGAGUUCACCUGUCUACGGCGAAUCAGUUUUGGGCUCUUGUCCGACCCGUCUUGAAACACGGACCAAGGAGUUUAGCGUGUACGCAAGUCAUUGGGUUCUUACGAAACCUAAAGGCGAAAUGAAAGUGAAGGAAACUUCACGUUUCUGAGGGAAGAUGAGACGGUUACCCGCAAGGGGCCUCUCCGCACUCCCGGGGCGUCUCUUUCUCAUUGCGAGUGGAGGCGCACCUAGAGCGUACACGCUGAUACCCGAAAGAUGGUGAACUAUGCCUGGCCAGGACGAAGCCAGGGGAAACCCUGGUGGAGGUCCGCAGCGAUUCUGACGUGCAAAUCGAUCGUCGGAGCUGGGUUUAGGGGCGAAAGACCAAUCGAACCAUCUAGUAGCUGGUUCCCUCCGAAGUUUCCCUCAGGAUAGCUUGCGCUCGUACGAUACGAGUCUCAUCCGGUAGAGCGAAUGAUUAGAGGCCUUGGGGUCGAAACGAUCUCAACCUAUUCUCAAACUCCAAAUAGAUGAGAACUCCGGCUUUCUUGAAUAUUUUCUUGAAGCCGGGGGCUUGGAUCAGAGUGCCAAGUGGGCCAAUUUUGGUAAGCAGAACUGGCGCUGUGGGAUGAACCAAACGCUGAGUUAAGGCGCCUCAAUCAACGCUCAUGUGAAACCAUGAAAGGCGUUGGUUGCUUAAGACAGCAGGACGGUGGCCAUGGAAGUCGGAAUCCGCUAAGGAGUGUGUAACAACUCACCUGCCGAAGCAACUAGCCCUGAAAAUGGAUGGCGCUGUAGCGUUGUGCCUAUACUCAGCCGUCAACGGCAAAGCUUGGUACGGUCCCUCUCACGGGGGGCCCGACUGUUAAGCCUUGACGAGUAGGAGGGCCGCGGCGACGUGCGUAGAAGGGUCUGGGCGUGAGCCUGCCUGGAGCCGUCGUCGGUGCAGAUCUUGGUGGUAGUAGCAAAUACUCCAGCGAGGCCCUGGAGGACUGAUGUGGAGAAGGGUUUCUUGUGAACAGCUGUUGCACAAGAGUCAGUCGGUCCUAAGCCCUAGGAGAAAUCCGAAGCGAUGGGUUGCCGUUCAUUUUAAAUAUCCAAUUAUUUGAUGUUGGCACCCGUUUGGGCGAAAGGGAAUCCGGUUCCUAUUCCGGAACCUGGCAGUGGAACCGUUCCAAUUCGGGCCCUCGAAGGACUCGUCAGGGCAACCUGAAUAGACCCGGAGACGCCGGCAGGAGGUUGGGGGAGAGUUGUCUCUUCUCUAUAAGCGAUCGAGUUCCCUGGAAACUUCUAGCAAGGAGAUAGGGUUUGGAUCGCGAAGAGCACUGCAGUUACGGCAGUGUCCCAAUCUUCCUCUCGGACCUUGAAAAUCCGGGUGAGGGCCACGAGGAACACCACGCCAGACCGUACCCAUAUCCGCAGCA